GUCAGAUAGCAGACUUGUUUCAGUAUGACUUUACAAGGAUUUAGUACUGUGUAAACAACACUUGCAAGGUUUUCUCUUUACUGCUGAGUAAAACCAGUAGCAGGAAGAACCACCUUUGAUUUUUGUACCAUGAAAGAAAUCUCAUCAAGUUUGCAAUAUCUGGCCUUUUUUUGCUGGACUGAAGUUUUCUGUCACAAAUGUACACGUCGUGUCUGGUGUUCUCUGUGUCUUCAAGUUGUCAGUGAUCCUGACAUCUGUCUACUAUUCCCAAAGUCAGAGUUUCCUUUCUUAGUCAAUGACUGCCCGUAACGUACAUAAAAGUGUAACUUCCAUCAACUCAACUGAAUUACUGAAUACUUUUUGGAAUGUGAUGAGGAGAAAAUCUUUGCACUUAACUGCAUAGUACGUAAAUUAAUUCUAUGGAAACAUCUCUACAGCUGCAUAAACCAGAAAAUCUCAGUGCUGAGAGAUGUCAGAAAUUUAAGAGCAUAGUAUAUACAUCAUGCAGAAAUGUUGUCCUUUGUCAGAGGAAUUGUCAUAUUGAGGGUCCUGCAGUUGCCAAAAAUAUAAUGUGAGAAAAUUUUCAUCUUCUCUGAACUGGACCCAAAUUAUGAGACCAUUCAAAACAUUCUGAAUUAAGUCUUUUUUUUGUCACCAAUUCAUAACUUUUUAAAAUAUAAGAAAAAUAUGUAUGUUAUAUUGUCUGGGAAACAUUUCUUUUGAAGCAUUGCAAACCAAGAAUUUUAUUCCUGUCUUUUUCCCCCACCUUCCAUUCUUCAGGUUAUUUGAAAAACUGUCUCUUUUACAAACCACAUUAGGUUUAUUGUAUGCAUUAAAUGAAAGGCUCUCAACUUCCAGAGCAGGCUGUAUGAACAAUUGCCUGGCAUGUACAUCAAGAAGCAUCCUACCUAAGUGCAAUGAAUUUAGUUUGUGUUAAUUACAAGGUGCAUUUGACUGUGUCUAUAUGAUAGAUUAACAGUUCCAAAUAACAUCAUAUGCAAAUGAAAGGAAAUUCUUUUUCCAUUUUAUAGCAAAGAUGAGAAAUACAGUAUAUUCUGAAAAGGAAUAUGAAUGCAGCUAUGCCAGCAGCUUGCUAGUCUGUAUAUAUCCACUCUCACGGAUAUAACAAAACUUACCUGAAAAUGAAUUAUUACAAUGUU
Pezoporus flaviventris is the source of this 1160-nucleotide long non-coding RNA. RefSeq lists it as uncharacterized. The record is from RefSeq and is a predicted model, not a curated record. The transcript has 2 exons. NCBI's taxonomy places the organism in Eukaryota, Metazoa, Chordata, Aves, Psittaciformes, Psittacidae.